CGAGNGGUAGAGAGAGCUUGCUUCUCUUGAGAGCGGCGGACGGGUGAGUAAUGCCUAGGAAUCUGCCUGGUAGUGGGGGAUAACGUUCGGAAACGGACGCUAAUACCGCAUACGUCCUACGGGAGAAAGCAGGGGACCUUCGGGCCUUGCGCUAUCAGAUGAGCCUAGGUCGGAUUAGCUAGUUGGUGAGGUAAUGGCUCACCAAGGCGACGAUCCGUAACUGGUCUGAGAGGAUGAUCAGUCACACUGGAACUGAGACACGGUCCAGACUCCUACGGGAGGCAUCAGUGGGGAAUAUUGGACAAUGGGCGAAAGCCUGAUCCAGCCAUGCCGCGUGUGUGAAGAAGGUCUUCGGAUUGUAAAGCACUUUAAGUUGGGAGGAAGGGUUGUAGAUUAAUACUCUGCAAUUUUGACGUUACCGACAGAAUAAGCACCGGCUAACUCUGUGCCAGCAGCCGCGGUAAUACGGAGGGUGCAAGCGUUAAUCGGAAUUACUGGGCGUAAAGCGCGCGUAGGUGGUUUGUUAAGUUGGAUGUGAAAUCCCCGGGCUCAACCUGGGAACUGCAUUCAAAACUGACUGACUAGAGUAUGGUAGAGGGUGGGUGGAAUUUCCUGUGUA
RNAcentral lists this ribosomal RNA (619 nucleotides) under Pseudomonas sp. AT-BI-13. Its description in RNAcentral is "bacterial SSU rRNA". It matches the Rfam family "Bacterial small subunit ribosomal RNA", at positions 63 to 677 of the family's 1533-position model. The record is from RNAcentral. Lineage: Bacteria; Pseudomonadati; Pseudomonadota; Gammaproteobacteria; Pseudomonadales; Pseudomonadaceae.